GACGAACGCUGGCGGUGUGCUUCACACAUGCAAGUCGAACGGGGUAGCAAUACCCAGUGGCGGACGGGUGAGUAACACGUGGGAAUCUACCAUUAGAUGGGGAUAGCAGGCCGAAAGGCCUAUUAAUACCGCAUAUGUAGGCGUCUCGACAGAGAUGUUUAUGAAAGGAGUAAUCCGUCUGAUGAUGAGCCCGCGCCCGAUUAGCUAGUUGGUAAGGUAAAGCUUACCAAGGCGACGAUCGGUAGGUGGUCUGAGAGGAUGAUCACCACAAUGGGACUGAGACACGGCCAUACUCCUACGGAGGCAGCAGUCGGAAUUUUGGGC
RNAcentral lists this ribosomal RNA (324 nucleotides) under uncultured bacterium. Its description in RNAcentral is "bacterial SSU rRNA". It matches the Rfam family "Bacterial small subunit ribosomal RNA", at positions 28 to 369 of the family's 1533-position model. The record is from RNAcentral.